RNAcentral lists this ribosomal RNA (646 nucleotides) under uncultured bacterium. RNAcentral describes it as "bacterial SSU rRNA". It matches the Rfam family "Bacterial small subunit ribosomal RNA", at positions 94 to 740 of the family's 1533-position model. The record is from RNAcentral.
CACGGCGCACGGGUGCGUAACACGUGGGUAACCUGCCCUCCAAAGGGGGAUAACCCGCCGAAAGGCGGGCUAAUACCGCAUGACAUUCCGGUGGCUUCGGCCGCUGGAAUCAAAGCCCGCAAGGGCGUUGGGGGAGGGGCCCGCGGCCGAUUAGCUUGUUGGCGAGGUAACGGCUCACCAAGGCUUUGAUCGGUAGCCGGUCUGAGAGGAUGGCCGGCCACACUGGAACUGAGACACGGUCCAGACUCCUACGGGAGGCAGCAGUGGGGAAUCUUGCGCAAUGGGCGAAAGCCUGACGCAGCGACGCCGCGUGGGGGAUGAAGCUUCUCGGAGUGUAAACCCCUUUCGACCCGGACGAAUGCCCCGCAAGGGGACUGACGGUACGGGUAUAAGAAGCCCCGGCUAACUACGUGCCAGCAGCCGCGGUAAGACGUAGGGGGCCAGCGUUGCUCGGAAUUACUGGGUGUAAAGGGUUCGUAGGCGGUGUGGCAAGUCGGGAGUGAAAUCUCUGGGCCCAACCCAGAGGCUGCUUCCGAAACUGCUGUGCUUGAGUGUGGGAGAGGCGCGUGGAAUUGCAGGUGUAGCGGUGAAAUGCGUAGAUAUCUGCAGGAACACCCGUGGCGAAAGCGGCGCGCUGGACCACAAC